UACAGAGGCCCAAAAUUCAUAGAUCCUCACGCCCUCGAAGGUAAAAUUCAUCAGUGCAAUUAUUUGAGCCUGAACUUGCCAGAUCUGUAAAUGUGAUGCUUGUGCAUGCCUAAAAUAUGAAUUAGGUUAUGUCGCAUAAAUCUGUGUAAAGUAGUGCUUUCUGAUUUCAGUGCGUUCAUGCAUCAAUGGUUUUGGUCUACUAUCUACAAGCUCAUGAAUGUGUUCUGUAUACUGCAUGUCUCCAUUGAUGAACGCAUGGGCCCAAAAAUCUGUGCAUGAGGUCAAUCUGCGUAUUGGCUCGAUGAAUAUGCUCCCCUUUGUGUUGCUUGGAUCCCGCCCCCAAACUUCAAUGUAAUUAUAUUUUGAAUGAAGUGUGAGAGAGUGAGAGAGUGAAAGGGAUCCGUUAGCAUAGAGGUCUUCUCAGCAUCCCCACUCCCUGUUGGGAAGGGUUCUGGUGGCACAUAAACUUGGGGAUGAGAAGAUUGUGGGGAAAUUGUUUCAUGAUCAGCAGGUGGUGUUUCCUCCCUUGGGGCAUGACUGGCUGGCAGAUUGCUCUUCCGUUUCUGCACCAAUUUCCUCUUGAUCAUCAUAGCUUUUCCCACAGUUUAUUAAUGGUUGAAUCUGAAAUUCUUGAUUAGUUCUUUCAAUGUACAACUCAAUGGAUUCCAACAAUUUAGAGAGUUUGUCUUCCA
This is a long non-coding RNA of Pyrus x bretschneideri (Chinese white pear), 692 nucleotides long. RefSeq lists it as uncharacterized. NCBI's taxonomy places the organism in Eukaryota, Viridiplantae, Streptophyta, Magnoliopsida, Rosales, Rosaceae. The record is from RefSeq and is a predicted model, not a curated record. The transcript is spliced from 2 exons.